CAGGUGAUAAACCGGAGGUAAGGUGGGGUAUGACGUCAAGUCAUCAUGGCCCUUAUGGGCUGGGCUACACAUCGUGCUACAAUGGUCAGGUACAGAGGGCCGCGAUCCCGCGAGGGGGAGCCAAUCCCAAAAAGCCGAUCUUAGUNGCAGUCUGCAACUCGACUGCGUGAAGUCAGGAAUCGCUAGUAAUCGCGAAUCAGCAAUGUCGACGGUNAUAU
This 218-nucleotide ribosomal RNA is filed under the name uncultured bacterium. RNAcentral describes it as "partial 16S ribosomal RNA". It matches the Rfam family "Bacterial small subunit ribosomal RNA", at positions 1152 to 1365 of the family's 1533-position model. The record is from RNAcentral.